CGUCCCAUGGUAGAACCUUGGAAACUGAGGCUAAAACUGAAUAGACAAUUAACACUGGAAUGUGUUUUUGUUUAAAAGUAAUGCCAUAGGAUGAGACAGCGGCUGAUUAGGCAGUUGGCGGGGUAACGGCCCACCAAACCUUAGAUCAGUAGGGGCUUUGAGAGAAGUAGCCUCGAGAAGGACACUGAGAUACUGGUCCUAGCCCUAAGGGGUGCAGCAGUUGCGAAAACUUCGCAAUGCGCGGAAGCGUGACGAGGGGAUUCUGAGUGCUUACGGUUUAUCCGUAGGCUUUUCGCCAGGGCAAAUACCUGGCGGAAUAAGUGGUGGGCAAGACUGGUGCCAGCCGCCGCGGUAACCCCAGCGCCACAAGUGGGAACCACGCUUAUUGGGUUUAAAGCAUUCGUAGCCGGUUCGGCAAAUGCCCUGUGAAAUCGUUUCGCUUAACGAAACGACGUGCAGGGUAGACUACCGAACUAGGGACCAGGGGAAGGAGACGGUAUUCCUGAGGGAGCGGUAAAAUGUGAUAAUCUCAGGAGGACCACCGAUGGCGAAGGCAGUCUCCUAAAAUGGAUCCGACGGUGAGGAAUGAAAGCUAGGGGAGCGAUCCGGAUUAGAUACCCGAGUAGUCCUAGCCGUAAACGCUGCAUGCCAGAUGUUACACAAUCUUCGAGAUUGUGUAGUGUCGCAACGAAGGUGUUAAGCAUGCCACCUGGGAAGUACGGUCGCAAGGCUGAAACUUAAAGGAAUUGGCGGGGGAGCAC
RNAcentral lists this ribosomal RNA (761 nucleotides) under uncultured archaeon. Its description in RNAcentral is "bacterial SSU rRNA". It matches the Rfam family "Archaeal small subunit ribosomal RNA", at positions 110 to 879 of the family's 1478-position model. The record is from RNAcentral.